Long non-coding RNA from Grus americana (Whooping crane), 4314 nucleotides. RefSeq lists it as uncharacterized. Lineage: Eukaryota; Metazoa; Chordata; Aves; Gruiformes; Gruidae. The record is from RefSeq and is a predicted model, not a curated record. The transcript is spliced from 3 exons.
CAGCCAGCUCUGCAGAACUUGUACAACCUGGUACAAUGGGAACACGAAUUACCUAAACCACAUGCAAUUUUGGUUGUGAAAGUGCAGGUCCAGGGAAGUCUGAUGGGCCCUGAUUUCCCAAAUGGUCCUUGGAGUGGCCUCCCGCCAGCCUGGCACAAGUAUCCAAUAUUAUUGGACUCUGCAUCUCGGAUUCAACUCUGCGGUUAAAGCUUCACACUUCUAAGCAGUUUAUGAAAGACAAUCGAGAAGAAAAGAAUCAGAGGAAAUCUUACACAGUAUGAUAAAAACACCUUACAGCAAUGUGAUUUAUGACAAAACACAGUCUGAGUUUCCAGUAUCAGAAAAGGAAAGGACAGCCAAACUGGGUCAGACCAAGGGUUCUGAAACUGACUGGCCAGCAGAAGAUGGCAAAGGCAGAAUGCAGCAGAAACACGAGAAGGUGAAGAAAACCUCGGUGGGAGUUCAUUGAAAGCCACAGGAGGGUGAAGUCUACGGCUCAGCUCAGGUGCAGACUUCUAGCUGAAGUCUGAAGCCUCUGAGAGUAAUACAGCUUUAAAAUGUUUUUUGACAGCUUCUUCUAAAGUUAGAACAUCGGUUACUGUCCAUGUAUCUGUAACACUGGCAACUGUGAUGGGCUGCACAGAGGCCUCAAGUAAUUCUGCUCAGAACCUGUUCUCCCAGAUAGAAGGAGGAAAUUAUGCCCAAGAUUACAAAUUUUGAGCACAGACUCUUCUACAGCCUCACAAACCAUGAAAAUUCUUCUGGUUUCUAGGCUGCUAGCCAAAUCAAUGUUUAGGAGGAUGAGCGGACAAGACUUAGACAGCUAUUCAAGGCAACAGAAAUAACUGUUGCUCCAGAGGAAGCAACAGUAUAGAAAUAUUAUUGAGUAUUGAAAUUCCAUUAGGGUUUUUGCAGGAAGGGAUCAGUAGGGCUUUAGAGGACUGUAGGCAGGGGAAGACACGCUUAGUUUGUGUUUCCUAGCCUGUGUGAUCAUAGGAUAGGAAGGCAGGGUCUUACCCCUGAAUAAAUUUUCCCUGUGCUGGAGGUCACAGUAUUUGCCUCUUCUUUGGUCACCUGGAGGAAAGGCCUCUUCAUGGCCUCAUCCAGAACUGACAGAUCUCACCUCCGCCAGAGCUCUGCCUUGGCGCAGUGCUGGGGUGUAGGAGGAAAAGGAAAAGCACAACCUUUCUAUGGUGGAGCAGGCAUGCAGCUAGCUGGCAUCCCCCAGUCUGGGACACAAGGUCAUCUGUGCAGGUCUGGAUUACCAGGUCUGCAAACCUGGCAAUGCAGAUAACACAAUACCAUGGUAUUAUUAACAUCUAAUAAUUUUUCUAUCAUUUGAUAUUGAAUAUUUCUAGAAUUCUGAUAAUACCAUGAAACCUGCAUAUCACCCAUUAUUACAGGGAAGCUUUGUGACAAUUACCUUUUAAAGUAGGAGGUUUCUAUAGAAUUGUGUCUUUACCUGUAUGUUCUCAAAGUCCCAGGUUCAUUAAUUCAACAGUCAAUUUAUUCUUUUGCAAAAAUGAUAUUCCUGAAGCUACUAUUUGAAUAGAAAUAACAUUUCAUGAGAAGCAAACUCCACAGGGAGGAGAGUAACUAGCAGAUAGUUUGUAUUCAUUUGAUAAAAUUAUGAAGUUGUGAGCUUGAUUGAAAAGAAAUCUAAGAGAUAAAAAUCUGUUUGGAAAACAAAUUUUGCCUUCUUAUAGCUAUUUAUCAACACCAACAAGACAGCCAUACAAUACAGAGUUUAAAUCUUCAACUAUGUAACAUUGCCCAAUCAAAGAUGGUGGUAUAAUAGAGCAAUGAUCUCAGGAUCCGUAUACAGAGUUGAGAAUAAAUUAUAAAAAAGUAAGGGUUUUUCAACUAUAAGUUAAGUUGAAAGUUUUUUAACUACAAGUUAAAAGCAUCUUUCAUCAAAUCAUUAUUGGGGUCUUGGGCAACCUGGUCCAGUGGAAGGUGUCCCUGCCCAUGGCAGUGGGGCUGGAACUAGAUGAUCUUUAAGGUCCCUUCCAACCCAGGCCAUUCUAUGAUUCUAUGAUUCUAUGAUUAUUCCUCUUCCAUGGGCAAUAAUGAACUUUUUCCAAAACAAUUUCCUAAAGGUGAGCUGUGUCUUGUAGAAGUCAAUGUGAUGUGUGCUGUGCUGACACCAUAUUUAUUAAUACAGAGCAUGAAUGCCACAGGAGCUGGAGCUCCAGGGACAGCUUCACCCUAACAUGCAGCACCCUUGCUCCAUUCAUUUCCUUUUCCUCGAGGGAGUACUCCACUACAGGAUACUUAACUAGAGAGAAGAAACUGGAGAAUUCUGAUACACCCCAUUGCAAAGCCUUCAGCCCCAUGUAACGGCUUCUGUGGGGUUUGUUUCUGUGUGGACUGAAUUUAUCAGUCAAAGAACAAGUCAACUUCAUGACUCCUGUCCUGAGCCUGUGAAUCACUUGGACAACUUCCUAGCACAGAGAGGCAGCAUGCCAUUGCAACAGCAUGUACACAACACACACAUGCAUGAACAAGACUUCUUUUGGCCUUGAAGUAUCUAGUCCAGAUUUAAACUCCCAGGCUAUUGGCUUGGCAUCAGGCUGUCAGUUGUACAGCCUCAGAUGGCAGCCUAUGUUUUUCUGCUAACUCAGUGCCUUCUGUUCCCAAGCAAUGGACAUUGGAUCUUUAUGGGAGUUACGAAUUAUUGGAUGCAUGUCAGGAAGUUUUUUAAAGGAACUUCAGGAGAUGGGUGGGAGGUAAUCAUAAAGAAAAAAAGAAUUGAUUUAAGUUUAAUCCAAAACUCAUCUCUCUCAAUUAGACUUUCUGCUGUUUUCAAUGGAUUUACAUCCUAUAAAUACAUCAAAUGCAAUUGCAGGCAUUUUCAGCACAAAUAUGAAGCGAUCUAAGUAAUGUUAAAUUAGUUUUUAAAGUUCUGUUAAAUAAAUUGGACAGGUCAAGAUAAACACAUAAGAUUCCACACUCCCUUCUUAUUCCCCAGGAAGAAGAACUUCUCCUCUCUCUCCCAAAGCUACACUGAUAAGUUCCACAAGUGUCUGGAGCAAACAGUGUAACCGGGAGACAGACACAUGUGGGGAACAGCAUCUCUGAGUCCCUGGCAUCGCCUCCACCUGUGAGCUGAAUGCCAUUUGAGCAAACAGGAUUGCUUAAUGCCAAAACAGCUUUUCUGAGUCCCAGCACCUCUUGAAUCACUGCUCUAGCCUGCACAAAUAUAAAAGGUAGCAUGCCCAAACAGAGAAGUUGUGCUGAACACUAUAUUGGCACUGUAACUAUCACAGGACGAUAACAGCUGAAGCUAUCCAGUCCCAGAGCAACCAAGAUUUCCCUUGGUUUCCUUCCCUUCCCCCCAUGCUGUAUAUCUUCCAUCCUUGAAGGUGAAAGUGGGAAACCUGCAGGGACAUGGGGAACCCAGCAUCCACAUAGAUACAUUCCCACGGUCUUGGGAUGCCAACCCUCUGAGAGCACAGAGACUGUAGAAUGCAAGAGGGUUUUCCAGUCUGUCAUUUCUAAGGCCUUUUACUACACACAGUACCACAUGGUGCAUGAAGGGUACCAGAAAUGACACUGCUGUGUAUCUUCCUCAGUGUGUGGAGAAUCACUUAUAACACACACAAAGGAACAGAUCUGUAGAGUGGCUCCACAUACCACACUUUCAUUUGAUUUUCAUUUCACUCCUAGAUAUUCAAUAUUUAAGCAUUGCCAGUCUAACACAUAAGCUUUUUGAGUGAUGGUAUCUCUUCAAAUGAGACAAUGUCAAGGAUUUGGUGCCAAAACUAUUUUUGCCAGUAAAAUUAAGUCCUUUGCCACUUUCAUGCAUACCUUGUAUAUAUACAAGACCUUUAACCAAAAGUUAUGCCUCUUCUUUUGUGGAGUGAUUUCUUCUUUUGUCAACAGUACCUGCACUGACUGCUGAGUGGAAGGUAAUCUAAAACUUUUAACUUCAGCUGUCAGUUUUCCUAACCUUAUCCAAUCACUACAGUCAUGUCUCACUUGUUAUCAGUUGACUAUAAAUGUUUUUGCUUACCUAGAGGGCAAAAAAAAUAGACAGAAUAUAGCAUUUCAAAAGAAAUAUUAUAGCCAUUAGUUCCACAAACACACUGUACCUAACUCAGAACCAAAUUCUGCCCUCAAAAAAUGAUGUGUCAUUUACAAUUAUGUUUAUGUGUGUACGUUCAGAAAGUGAAGGGGACAGACAGAAUAUGAGAGGACAGUCUAGCCCCUGAAUUUUAUAAAGAAAUGUCUGUCUCAGGUGUCUGAAUGUUGUGGAGAUCUAUUAUACUGUUAUCUUUCUUUAACAAGACUUAGAGUGUAUUGCAAAUGGAG